AUUGAACGCUGGCGGCAGGCCUAACACAUGCAAGUCGAGCGGAGCGGCGGACGGGCGAGUAAGGCCUAGGUAUCUGCCUGCCCGUGGGGGAUGGAGUACGGAUAGGGGCGCUAACUCCUCACGCUUUCAGUUGAGUCUAGGCCGGAUGGGCUAGUUGGUGGGGUAAAGGCCUACCAAGGCGACGAUCCGUAGCUGGUCUGAGAGGAUGAUCAGCCACACUGGAACUGAGACACGGUCCAGACUCCUACGGGAGGCAGCAGUGGGGAAUAUUGGACAAUGGGCGAAAGCCUGAUGCAGCCAUGCCGCGUGUGUGAAGAAGGUCUUCGGAUUGUAAAGUACUUUAAGUUGGGAGGCGUUACCCGCAGAAGAAGCACCGGCUAACUCCGUGCCAGCAGCCGCGGUAAUUC
Molecule: ribosomal RNA, 407 nt
Filed under: uncultured bacterium
Lineage: Bacteria
Description: partial 16S ribosomal RNA
Rfam family: Bacterial small subunit ribosomal RNA
Source: RNAcentral